Rhipicephalus sanguineus (brown dog tick) is the source of this 375-nucleotide long non-coding RNA. RefSeq lists it as uncharacterized. Lineage: Eukaryota; Metazoa; Arthropoda; Arachnida; Ixodida; Ixodidae. The transcript has 3 exons. The record is from RefSeq and is a predicted model, not a curated record.
CUGGUGUGGCGACACUGACAAUGGUUGUCUACCAACUCUGCCACAUCACUUCAAUUAUUCAAAGUGGACGAAGGCCUCCCCGAAUGGACGUGUCGCUUGACAACUGCCCCGGAAAUAAAAGUAGCAUUGCAUCAGCUAUGAAUGCGACAUUCUUCGAGCCGCAGCCAUCAAUUGAAGAACAAUUUAUCCUCUUUCGCCUGUCGUAUCUGUGGACCAGCUUUUUCGCUAUACUUGCAACACUCCUAAUUGGAGUUGCCGUGAGUGCUGCUACAGGUGAAAUAAAGAAGAAAAAAUGGCAGCAUGAUCUUUGUUAUGACCCGGCUGUCAAUUUCUGGAAACACAUCAUUCCUCUCUCUCGUGAGGAAAAAGAUCAGG